RNAcentral lists this ribosomal RNA (486 nucleotides) under uncultured bacterium. RNAcentral describes it as "partial 16S ribosomal RNA". It matches the Rfam family "Bacterial small subunit ribosomal RNA", at positions 30 to 507 of the family's 1533-position model. The record is from RNAcentral.
AUUGAACGCUGGCGGCAUGCCUUACACAUGCAAGUCGAACGGCAGCACGGGUGCUUGCACCUGGUGGCGAGUGGCGAACGGGUGAGUAAUACAUCGGAACAUGUCCUGUCGUGGGGGAUAGCCCGGCGAAAGCCGGAUUAAUACCGCAUACGAUCUACGGAUGAAAGCGGGGGACCUUCGGGCCUCGCGCUAUAGGGUUGGCCGAUGGCUGAUUAGCUAGUUGGUGGGGUAAAGGCCUACCAAGGCGACGAUCAGUAGCUGGUCUGAGAGGACGACCAGCCACACUGGGACUGAGACACGGCCCAGACUCCUACGGGAGGCAGCAGUGGGGAAUUUUGGACAAUGGGCGAAAGCCUGAUCCAGCAAUGCCGCGUGUGUGAAGAAGGCCUUCGGGUUGUAAAGCACUUUUGUCCGGAAAGAAAUCCUUGGCCCUAAUACGGUCGGGGGAUGACGGUACCGGAAGAAUAAGCACCGGCUAACUACGUG